Oreochromis niloticus (Nile tilapia) is the source of this 678-nucleotide long non-coding RNA. RefSeq lists it as uncharacterized. NCBI's taxonomy places the organism in Eukaryota, Metazoa, Chordata, Actinopteri, Cichliformes, Cichlidae. The transcript is spliced from 2 exons. The record is from RefSeq and is a predicted model, not a curated record.
CAACCGUCAUCUGUUUUCUGCUCGCCGUUAUUCGUGUUCAGGUGUGUCACACAGCUGCUUGGCCAGGAGGGGAGGAGCCAAGCAGAACACCUGCCAGUUACUCCAACGACUCUCUUUCUAGAACAGAGAACUUGUCACCAGUUCACACUGAGCCGUCUUUCUGGAACAGGGCCCGAGAGUCGCUCCGACAGCUGUCUCUGAAUGUCUCCAAUCUGUGCUCAGUUUCCUCCACCUGUUCUGUUUGUCUUAUGCAAACAUGUUGCAUGUUAUAUUUAUAUUACAGCUUGUGUCUUUCAGCACUGUCUACAUAGUUUGUUUUCAUGUAUUUCUACUUACAAAUCCACAGUGCAAAUGUUGAUUCCAGCUGUGAUAAAAAAGGUAGAUUCAUCCAUCAGUGUUAUAAUUAUAAGAUAUCUGAGCACACAGCACUACACUGCUCUGACAGACGAAGAGACGAUGCAGCUGUGCCAAACAUCUCCUUUAACUGACAUUGCUUUAAAAUGGGGCUUAUAGAUAAGGAUAUUUCAUUUUGUUAAAGUCCUGCCGCCUCAACUCUUUUCUCCUUGGUCUCUUCCUCACCUCCUUCCUCAUCUGUGGUGGGAAAGACUGAGACUGAAGAGCAUGUGCAUACUGAGAAAUAAGAAAAUGAAGGCUCCUGUUGCUGGAAAUGUUCCUGCA